AUUAUUUAUAUGCUUAGAAGGAGCAAUCACGUGACACCAAUAAAAGGAAUCCAGCCAGUAGCAUCUUGACACAUCAUCAAAUAAAAAAAUAAAAAACUGUAGCACCCAUGUAUAUUAAAGAAAGGCUGGUCACGUGUGCUGAUGCAUGCUGACGUCAUGUGCGUUGUAAGCCAAAAUCGUGCCGUGAUCGGAAUAGCACAGGGACGCGAAAAUUACAGGAGCUGAAGGCGUGUCAAUGUUUAAAACUUUGGAAAUUUUCUAAGUAUUUUUCCUUUUUUUUUUCUUUGUCUUCAAACAUCUUGCUAUUGUAAUUUCUUCAAAUAAUCUUCUUUUUGACCAUGUAUUACUCCUAAAAAUCACUAAAAUUCUAUAAAAUAAUAAUUAAAAUACUCAAAUGACCGACUGUCAUCAACUGUGGAAUAUAAAUAAUAAGGCUGACAGCUUGUGGAUUCGUUGGAUCCAUAGCUAUUAUAUUAAACAGGACGAAUUGAUGAAUAUGCCCGUGAAGCAGACAUGUUCUUGGAUUCUUAAGGCAAUCCUUAAACAAAGGGAGUCUCUCCUACAGAUACCAGGUUGGAUCAACAUGACGAGUAAGACUAUCCAAAAGAAAGUUUAUCUUCUAUUGAAGGAGGAAUAUCCUGUUGUAUAUUGGAG
This 654-nucleotide long non-coding RNA is filed under the name Trifolium pratense (red clover). RNAcentral's name for it is "long non-coding RNA (TPRA_LNC009845)". Lineage: Eukaryota; Viridiplantae; Streptophyta; Magnoliopsida; Fabales; Fabaceae. The record is from RNAcentral.